Molecule: ribosomal RNA, 503 nt
Filed under: uncultured bacterium
Lineage: Bacteria
Description: bacterial SSU rRNA
Rfam family: Bacterial small subunit ribosomal RNA
Source: RNAcentral
GAUGAACGCUAGCUACAGGCUUAACACAUGCAAGUCGAGGGGAAACGAUAGAGAAAGCUUGCUUUUUCUAGGCGUCGACCGGCGCACGGGUGAGUAACGCGUAUCCAACCUGCCCAUCACUUGGGGAUAACCUUGCGAAAGUAAGACUAAUACCCAAUGACGUCUCUAGAAGACAUCUGAAAGAGAUUAAAGAUUUAUCGGUGAUGGAUGGGGAUGCGUCUGAUUAGCUUGUUGGCGGGGUAACGGCCCACCAAGGCGACGAUCAGUAGGGGUUCUGAGAGGAAGGUCCCCCACAUUGGAACUGAGACACGGUCCAAAACUCCUACGGGAGGCAGCAGUGAGGAAUAUUGGUCAAUGGACGAGAGUCUGAACCAGCCAAGUAGCGUGCAGGAUGACGGCCCUAUGGGUUGUAAACUGCUUUUAUAAGGGAAUAAAGUGAGUCUCGUGAGACUUUUUGCAUGUACCUUAUGAAUAAGGACCGGCUAAUUCCGUGCCAGCAGCCG